CUUCCUUCCAGGGCACACAGCAGUGAAAGGACAGAACUGAGAAUAGAACCCUCGGCCGCCCAGAGCCUCUGUCUCCGUGACCUGUGACCUCUGGGGGAGAAUGCAAAUGCAGUUCCCACUACCACAAAUUAUGCAGCUGAGUUGCCCACAUUUGGGGAAAUCCCAGGGGCCAGCACAUCCGGAGUGCAGUGUAUCCUCACCUUGGGAAAAUCACCUUUGUGAUCAUGGUAUCUCCCCUGCCAGGAAGAAGUCAAGAUAAAGGGAAAAAAGAUGAAAUACAAAUGACACACUACUCUUGAGGGAAGAAGAGAUCAAGGCUUUGACAGUGGGGAUCUUCCUGACAGCAUGAAGUCCUUACAGAAAAAUUAACAACUGACCUUUCUCAUGUUGAA
Eptesicus fuscus (big brown bat) is the source of this 392-nucleotide long non-coding RNA. RefSeq lists it as uncharacterized. The transcript has 3 exons. The record is from RefSeq and is a predicted model, not a curated record. Lineage: Eukaryota; Metazoa; Chordata; Mammalia; Chiroptera; Vespertilionidae.